This 208-nucleotide unclassified non-coding RNA is filed under the name Hevea brasiliensis (rubber tree). Lineage: Eukaryota; Viridiplantae; Streptophyta; Magnoliopsida; Malpighiales; Euphorbiaceae. The record is from RNAcentral.
CGCCCUCAUUCCUCUAAAAACACCCGAAACACUAGGGGUGUAAAGCUCUAAACUCCCCCCCUCCUGUUUAUUCUCUAUAAUUAACUUAUUAAAGAAGGUACCAAAAUGAAAGACCAGAACACAGGUAUGAAGAAGAAUACAAGGAAGCAUUUUGAAACAACCCUUGUCACACAAGGAAAAGAAUGAUAUGUUGACAAAUAAAUUGCUG